CCUACGGGAGGCAGCAGUGAGGAAUAUUGGUCAAUGGGCGUAAGCCUGAACCAGCCAAGUCGCGUGAGGGAUGAAGGUUCUAUGGAUCGUAAACCCCUUCUAUAAGGGAAUAAAGUGUGGGACGUGUCCUAUCUUGUAUGUACCUUAUGAAUAAGGAUCGGCUAACUCCGUGCCAGCAGCCGCGGUAAUACGGGGGGUCCGAGCGUUAUCCGGAUUUGUUGGGCUUAAAGGGUGCGGAGGCGGCCUGUUAAGUCAGCGGUGAAAGUCUGUGGCUCAACCAGAGAAUUGCCGUUGAAACUGGGAGGCUUGAGUGUGGUUGAGGCAGGCGGAAUGCGUGGUGUAGCGGUGAAAUGCUUAGAUAUCACGCAGAACCCCGAUUGCGAAGGCAGCCUGCCGGGCCAUGACUGACGCUGAGGCACGAAAGCGUGGGGAUCAAACAGGAUUAGAUACCCGUGUAGUC
This 460-nucleotide ribosomal RNA is filed under the name uncultured bacterium. Its description in RNAcentral is "partial 16S ribosomal RNA". It matches the Rfam family "Bacterial small subunit ribosomal RNA", at positions 338 to 795 of the family's 1533-position model. The record is from RNAcentral.